This is a long non-coding RNA of Solanum stenotomum, 2503 nucleotides long. RefSeq lists it as uncharacterized. NCBI's taxonomy places the organism in Eukaryota, Viridiplantae, Streptophyta, Magnoliopsida, Solanales, Solanaceae. The record is from RefSeq and is a predicted model, not a curated record. The transcript is spliced from 10 exons.
UUUAUUAAAAAAAAAGUACUUUGUACUGAGUGACCUAAUUGUGCAUCUUCAUCUUCACAGAAAGCCUUGGAUGUUCGGUGAAACUUUAGUCAUUCUUCCACCUUCUUUCAAUCGUUGAUGUUUAGGGAUGAAGCGUAGGAACUUCAUAUUCAAAAUAUCUGCCCAAUUUCUCCAUUUCUCAUAGGGAAUGUGGACAAAAAAAUUGAGAGUGUUGCAUGCCUUGAAGGAAGGUCGCAGGUUCUAUCCUUUUUGGUAUAAAGUUUGGUUUCCACUGUUUGGGUAAAAAAUUGAAAUUGAAGAGUUGCUUAAAAAAGGAAAGAGACAUUCUUUUUGGGACUAAAAGGAAAGUAAGACAAAUAGAUUCUACCGGAUGGAGCAAUUCUUCUUUGUACCACAUGAAAAACUAAGAUGUCCAAAUGGACAACCAUAAAGAUCGAUGUUAAAAAACUGUGUUCCUCUGUCACUACACUGAACAAAUCACCUCAUCGUCUUUAGUUUACUGUGUAUAUUUGCUGAAAUGGUUCAGCAUGUUUGUUACCAGGAGCAACAAGGUCAAGUAGGUAAGAAUUAACACUUUAGUUCUAUUUCUAUUGUUGAUGAUCAUAGUAGCCCUUUUACCAUUCUGUAUAAAUGAGUUAUUCCAUUUGUACUGAUAGGGUGGAGGGGAAUAUUUAAUUCUUUUUAUCUAUUAGUUUUCAGUUCUUAUCUUUCGCUUGUGGUAGAGCAAUCUGAUAGCUCGCAAGGCUCAUAACCUUGAGGUCACGGAAACUCCAGUUGCUUUUGUAUCCUCAUUUUGUAGUCAUAUUCCUUUGUACCCAACAUAUUUGAUGAAAGUUAUGUUCAGAUUGUUAGAAGAAUGAUCCAUUGAUUCUUAGUAAAUAUAUUAUCAAAUUCUGUAACAUCCUAAAUCAAUGGAUUACAAGUGCCGCUGAAAGAAACAAAAGGAAUAUGACCUCUUUAACUACUAUUGACAAUAAAGGGAAGUAGCAGUGACAAAAUAUGCAACUUCAGGCAAGAUGCUGAAACUAGGAUCACCAACACAACUUGGUGUUAUGUCCCUUUUCAAUUACGACGAAACAUGAGAAUGCGCUUAGUGAAGUUCAAGAAGUGCUUUAUCAUGGACAUCAUAAGAAUCUAUAUGAUCAAGACCAAAGGGCUGCAGAAAUGCUCCAACAGUGACAUUCUAUGGACUGCUUCAAUUGGAUGGCGCCUCAUCACAGUCCAUACGUCCCUUAUAUACUUUGUUUGGCUGGAGUAUCAGGUAUGUCUUUUGUUCAGUCGAGUUGAAGCCAAAUGCUUUUUCAUCAAAACAUCUUGUGGAUUUCCAAGAGACCUGAAAAAUGUUGUGCUUGGCUUGUUCCUGGAUAUGAGGGAUUAUUCUCCUUCAUUAUGAAAAAUGACCUUUCACAUGCAGGGGAACGGAAGAGGUCUACAGACUGCAUCUCAUAUUAAUAAUAGACCACUUGCACCUGCUGCCGCGGGAUCAAAGAGCUCUAUAUAUGAACCACUUUUGUAUGGUAAUACUUCAUGACAUUUUAGGCCAACUGUAAAGUAGUUAGCUCCACCUAAUUUACAACCUCAAUUGACCAUGAACAAGGUCAAUAUGGACAAUGUUGCUGCAAUGUCAUCUGUCCAGAAAUUUGGUUGAUGGAAAUAAAGUUUGGAAAAUUUGGUUGAGCCUGAAUAGCUUAGUUGGGAAGAAUAUUUUUGUUGUGUUAGUUGGAUGGGUAGUAGAAAUCACGUACAAGAUAUAAUUGUUGCUCUGUUAAAUGAAGUGAACAAGCAGGAAUAAGUCUCGGUGGGGGGCCUAUAUGAAGCUGACACUUGCCAAUUCUGACAAAUUCGACACACGCAGCACUGUAAGUUUGUCACAAAUCCAACAAGUUAAAAGUAUAUUUCAUAAUUGAAAACAACUUCCUUCUGUUGUGCACCUACGAUAAUUGACGAUAUGCUCAUUCUUUUUGGUUUUCCACGAGAAAUGAGCCAACUGGAUGGACAAUGUAAAUUGAGAUUUCACCCCAACAAGAGAAUACUCAAAAGAAGAGAAAAGAGAGUCCAGUAACUCUGAGGGAGACAACUUAUGCAAGAAGAAAAUAAAGGGUCAAUUAUUACUAAUAAUAGCAUUAAGGCAAUUAACUACGUUGAAGAAAGGGUAUAGGAAUUAAAUAUUCAUUCCCUCAUUUCAUACAAGAACAUACAACAUCAAAAAAGGAAAAAAUAAAUGUACAGUUGAUGUUUCUCAUGGCAACAUUGGAUAGUCCAGAAGUUGUGAAACCACUAGAAUUUGAAUGACAGAUAAAAGCAGAAUGUUUCCAACAAUGUCUUGAGCAUUCUCCUUUCCUUUUCUCUUUUCGAUUUUUUUGGAGUUGUGUCGACAUUUAAUGUCUUCUACUUUAUAGAUGAUUUGUUAUUGUGUACAAUUAAUAAAUUCAAUGAGCAUACUUUGUUCCUUACCUAUUAGAUCAUCCUUUUUACUAUUACACACGUAAUUUGAAUAAAUUGU